This is a long non-coding RNA of Oreochromis aureus, 323 nucleotides long. RefSeq lists it as uncharacterized. The record is from RefSeq and is a predicted model, not a curated record. NCBI's taxonomy places the organism in Eukaryota, Metazoa, Chordata, Actinopteri, Cichliformes, Cichlidae. The transcript is spliced from 3 exons.
UGGGGUCAUAACCCCACACCCAUGAAACAACUCACGGGAAAAAGAGACAUUUUAACAGCACAGUCGAAACUGUGGAGAAAGGAGCGCUGCCCCUGUCUUCUCACCGUCUCCUAUUGUGGAUCGGGGAGGAGGCGUGACCAUAAUUACUGCAGGCAAUUAGCGAGCAUAGGCUAUGUCCAAAUGCAGUGGAGUCUGGAUGCUGAGGAGGUGAGCCACUAACUGACUGGUAUCACGGAUAAACAAGGAGAAGACAAAAGACAUCUUUCCUUGAAACACCACAAAUAUCCUGCAUAAACGAUGCCCUCCGGGACCACCACCACAGC